RNAcentral lists this long non-coding RNA (501 nucleotides) under Elaeis guineensis (African oil palm). RNAcentral's name for it is "long non-coding RNA (EGUI_LNC036640)". The record is from RNAcentral. Lineage: Eukaryota; Viridiplantae; Streptophyta; Magnoliopsida; Arecales; Arecaceae.
UUGGACCGCACAUGUGGACAAAGCCUUGAACCUCUUGAGGCUUGGGGACUGAUGGUGGCUUAGCAUCCAAGAAAGGGUGAAAAGCUCUUCGAGGCUUCUCAGAAUCUGGAGAUCCUACCAGUGCAAAGAUCUGAGGAUGCUUGAGCCAACAUUUUACCCCUCCUAGCAACAUGGUGCUCCUUGCCCAUGGAUGGAUUAAAGCGGGGGUCAUGAUAAUAGAGGUGUAGGGGCUAAUUCUCUAGAGAUCCUACAUAGCCCACUGAAAUCAAUUUGGUCCACUAUAGCCAGCCAUAGUCCACUAUAGUCGACAUAGUUCACUGUAGCUGACAUGGCCCAUUAAAGCCAAUCUGAUCCACUUUAGCCAUCCAUAGCCCAUUAUAGCCCAUAUGACUCACUAUAGCUGACAUGACCCAUUAAAGUUAAUCUGACCUACUGUAGCCAGCUAUAACCCACUAUAGUUUAUAUGGCCCACUGAAGCCAACUUGACCCACUAUAGCCCCC